UAGACAACAAUUACAUAACUCGUUGGACAACCAUUAAAAUAUCUUUAAUCGCGAUAGACAUUUACAAUAGGCGAAAAUAUCAUCUUUAUAAGUGAUCACAGAUAGGAUCCACAUCCUGUAGCUAACGCCCAACGAAUCCGGUAUUCGUAUUGCAACAAAAACGAUAAACUUUAAACCGAUUAUUGACUAUUCUACUGCAAAGCGGGUACCUCAUCCCUCCGUAAAUUUCGCU
Cinara cedri is the source of this 232-nucleotide non-coding RNA. NCBI's taxonomy places the organism in Eukaryota, Metazoa, Arthropoda, Insecta, Hemiptera, Aphididae. The record is from the annotation of a GenBank genome assembly.